CACCAAUCAAGCCUGGCUUGGUAUUGGGCGUCGGGAGACCCCGCGCCCUCAAUUCAUCGGCUGGACGGUUCGACUCUCAGCGUUGUGGUCAUUCAAUUCGCUGGCGAGGACGACUGGACGCGCCGUUAAACCUCUAUCACA
This 141-nucleotide unclassified non-coding RNA is filed under the name Extremus antarcticus. Its description in RNAcentral is "partial internal transcribed spacer 2". The record is from RNAcentral. Lineage: Eukaryota; Fungi; Ascomycota; Dothideomycetes; Mycosphaerellales; Extremaceae.